GACGAACGCUGGCGGCGUGCCUAACACAUGCAAGUCGAGCGGGAUAAUGCAGCAGCUUGCUGCUGCAUUAUUCAGCGGCGGACGGGUGAGUAACACGUGGGCAACCUGCCCUGCAGAGGGGAAUAGCCAACCGAAAGGUUGAUUAAUACCGCAUACACUAUAGUGAACGCAUGUUCGGUAUAGUAAAGGAUAUAUAUUCGAGAGGAUAAAUAUCCGUUGCAGGAGGGGCCCGCGGCCCAUUAGUUAGUUGGUGAGGUAGAGGCCCACCAAGACGACGAUGGGUAGCCGAUCUGAGAGGAUGAACGGCCACAUUGGAACUGAGAGACGGUCCAGACUCCUACGGGAGGCAGCAGUGGGGGAGUAUUGCGCAAUGGGGGGAACCCGUGACGCAGCAACGCCGCGUGAGUGAAGAAGGUCUUCGGAUCGUAAAGCUCUGUCAUUAGGGACGAAAGAGAUGACGGUACCUAAUGAGGAAAGCCACGG
Molecule: ribosomal RNA, 483 nt
Filed under: uncultured bacterium
Lineage: Bacteria
Description: bacterial SSU rRNA
Rfam family: Bacterial small subunit ribosomal RNA
Source: RNAcentral